CCCUUAGAUGUUCUGGGCUGCACGCGCGCUACGCUGAUGCGAUCAACAAGUUUUUCCUAUGUCGAUAGACACGGGUAAUCUUUUGAACUCGCAUCGUGAUGGGGAUAGAUUAUUGUAAUUAUUAAUCUUCAACGAGGAAUUCCUAGUAGGUGCAAAUCAUCAGUUUGCAUCGAUUACGUCCCUGCCCUUUGUACACACCGCCCGUCGCUGCUACCGAUUGGUUGAUCUGGUGAAUUAUUCGGACUGCCGGCUGAAGGGGUUUCCUCAUCUGCCAGCGGAAAGUCUUGUUAACCCUAUCAACUAGAGGAAGCAGAAGUCGUAACA
Molecule: ribosomal RNA, 324 nt
Filed under: uncultured eukaryote
Lineage: Eukaryota
Description: partial 18S ribosomal RNA
Rfam family: Eukaryotic small subunit ribosomal RNA
Source: RNAcentral